RNAcentral lists this ribosomal RNA (825 nucleotides) under uncultured bacterium. Its description in RNAcentral is "bacterial SSU rRNA". It matches the Rfam family "Bacterial small subunit ribosomal RNA", at positions 62 to 894 of the family's 1533-position model. The record is from RNAcentral.
UCGAGGGGUAGUAUAGCAUAUAUGAGACCGGCGCACGGGUGCGUAACGCGUAUGCAAUCUACCUUUUACAGAGGGAUAGCCCAGAGAAAUUUGGAUUAAUACCUCAUAGUAUAUUUUGAUGGCAUCAUCAGAUUAUUAAAGUUCCAACGGUAAAAGAUGAGCAUGCGUCCUAUUAGCUAGUUGGUGUGGUAACGACACACCAAGGCUACGAUAGGUAGGGGUCCUGAGAGGGAGAUCCCCCACACUGGUACUGAGACACGGACCAGACUCCUACGGGAGGCAGCAGUGAGGAAUAUUGGACAAUGGGCGCAAGCCUGAUCCAGCCAUGCCGCGUGCAGGAAGACGCAUCUAUGGUGUGUAAACUGCUUUUGUACGGGAAGAAACACUCCUACGUGUAGGAGCUUGACGGUACCGUAAGAAUAAGGAUCGGCUAACUCCGUGCCAGCAGCCGCGGUAAUACGGAGGAUCCAAGCGUUAUCCGGAAUCAUUGGGUUCAAAGGGUCCGUAGGCGGUUUGAUAAGUCAGUGGUGAAAGCCCAUCGCUCAACGAUGGAACGGCCAUUGAUACUGUCAGACUUGAAUUACUGGGAAGUAACUAGAAUAUGUAGUGUAGCGGUGAAAUGCUUAGAUAUUACAUGGAAUACCAAUUGCGAAGGCAGGUUACUACCAGUGGAUUGACGCUGAUGGACGAAAGCGUGGGGAGCGAACAGGAUUAGAUACCCUGGUAGUCCACGCCGUAAACGAUGGAUACUAGCUGUUCGGUUGCAAGACUGAGUGGCCAAGCGAAAGUGAUAAAUAUCCCACCUGGGGAGUACGUUCGCAAGAA